Molecule: ribosomal RNA, 428 nt
Filed under: uncultured bacterium
Lineage: Bacteria
Description: partial 16S ribosomal RNA
Rfam family: Bacterial small subunit ribosomal RNA
Source: RNAcentral
GACGAACGCUGGCGGCGUGCUUAACACAUGCAAGUCGAGCGGAGCGGCGAACGGGUGAGUAACGCGUGAGUAACUGCCCCCCUCUCUGGGAUAACAGUUGGAAACGGCUGCUAAUACCGGAUAGUGGGGGAUGACUCGCGUCCUAUCAGCUUGUUGGUGGGGUAGUGGCCUACCAAGGCGAUGACGGGUAGCCGGCCUGAGAGGGCGACCGGCCACAUUGGGCUGAGAUACGGCCCAAACUCCUACGGGAGGCCGCAGUGGGGAAUAUUGCACAAUGGGGGAAACCCUGAUGCAGCCAUGCCGCGUGUGUGAAGAAGGCCUUCGGGUUGUAAAGCACUUUCAGCGAGGAGGAACUUAAUACGUUCAUCAAUUGACGUUACUCGCAGAAGAAGCACCGGCUAACUCCGUGCCAGCAGCCGCGGUAAUUC